Molecule: non-coding RNA, 172 nt
Organism: Clostridium sp. DL-VIII
Lineage: Bacteria; Bacillati; Bacillota; Clostridia; Eubacteriales; Clostridiaceae
Source: Rfam
UCCUCGGCGACAAGGAAUCUGAAGGAAGCUGGAGGCAAACUUCUGGUCUGACGAACAGAAACUACAUCAGGCAUAUAUAUGUUGGGUAAAGUUGCAACACAAACUAAAGCCCUAAACUAUCCGGAAGCAUAUGGUGUAAAUGUAGCAGAUAUAUGAAAGGAAAGAUUGCGUU